CAGCAGCCGCGGGAAUACGUAGGUGGCAAGCGUUGUCCGGAAUUAUUGGGCGUAAAGCGCGCGCAGGCGGAUCAGUUAGUCUGUCUUAAAAGUUCGGGGCUUAACCCCGUGUGGGGAUGGAAACUGCUGAUCUAGAGUAUCGGAGAGGAAAGUGGAAUUCCUAGUGUAGCGGUGAAAUGCGUAGAUAUUAGGAAGAACACCAGUGGCGAAGGCGACUUUCUGGACGAAAACUGACGCUGAGGCGCGAAAGCCAGGGGAGCGAACGGGAUUAGAUACCCCCGUAGUCCCUGUCUCUUAUACA
Molecule: ribosomal RNA, 301 nt
Filed under: uncultured bacterium
Lineage: Bacteria
Description: partial 16S ribosomal RNA
Rfam family: Bacterial small subunit ribosomal RNA
Source: RNAcentral